GAAUUGCGAUAAGUAAUGUGAAUUGCAGAAUUCAGUGAAUCAUCGAAUCUUUGAACGCACCUUGCACUCUUUGGUAUUCCGAAGAGUAUGUCUGUUUGAGUAUCAUGAAACUCUCAACCCCCCUAUUUUGUAAUGAAAUGGGCGUGGGCUUGGAUUAUGGUUGUCUGUCGGCGUAAUUGCCGGCUCAACUGAAAUACACGAGCAACCCUAUUGAAAUAGACGGUUUGACUUGGCGUAAUAAUUUAUUUCGCUAAGGACGUCUUCUUCAAAUAUAAGAGGUGCUUCUAAUGCGCUUUUAUAGCACUUUAAGCUUUAGAUCUCAAAUCAGUCAGGACUACCCGCUGAACGUAAGC
RNAcentral lists this unclassified non-coding RNA (353 nucleotides) under plant metagenome. RNAcentral's name for it is "partial contains 5.8S ribosomal RNA, internal transcribed spacer 2, and large subunit ribosomal RNA". The stretch from base 1 to 105 matches the Rfam family "5.8S ribosomal RNA", at positions 50 to 154 of the family's 154-position model. The record is from RNAcentral.